RNAcentral lists this ribosomal RNA (255 nucleotides) under Staphylococcus aureus. Its description in RNAcentral is "partial 23S ribosomal RNA". It matches the Rfam family "Bacterial large subunit ribosomal RNA", at positions 881 to 1134 of the family's 2925-position model. Lineage: Bacteria; Bacillati; Bacillota; Bacilli; Caryophanales; Staphylococcaceae. The record is from RNAcentral.
CUCAAGUGAUGAUUAUUGGAGGUAGAGCACUGUUUGGACGAGGGGCCCCUCUCGGGUUACCGAAUUCAGACAAACUCCGAAUGCCAAUUAAUUUAACUUGGGAGUCAGAACAUGGGUGAUAAGGUCCGUGUUCGAAAGGGAAACAGCCCAGACCACCAGCUAAGGUCCCAAAAUAUAUGUUAAGUGGAAAAGGAUGUGGCGUUGCCCAGACAACUAGGAUGUUGGCUUAGAAGCAGCCAUCAUUUAAAGAGUGCG